UGAGGAAUAUUGGUCAAUGGGCGUAAGCCUGAACCAGCCAAGUCGCGUGAGGGAUGAAGGUUCUAUGGAUCGUAAACCUCUUUUAUGAGGGAAUAAAGUGCGGGACGUGUCCCGUUUUGUAUGUACCUUAUGAAUAAGGAUCGGCUAACUCCGUGCCAGCAGCCGCGGUAAUACGGAGGAUCCGAGCGUUAUCCGGAUUUAUUGGGUUUAAAGGGUGCGUAGGCGGCCUUUUAAGUCAGCGGUGAAAGUCUGUGGCUCAACCAUAGAAUUGCCGUUGAAACUGGGAGGCUUGAGUAUGUUUGAGGCAGGCGGAAUGCGUGGUGUAGCGGUGAAAUGCUUAGAUAUCACGCAGAACCCCGAUUGCGAAGGCAGCCUGCCAAGCCAUGACUGACGCUGAUGCACGAAAGCGUGGGGAUCAAACAGG
This 424-nucleotide ribosomal RNA is filed under the name uncultured bacterium. RNAcentral's name for it is "bacterial SSU rRNA". It matches the Rfam family "Bacterial small subunit ribosomal RNA", at positions 355 to 776 of the family's 1533-position model. The record is from RNAcentral.